Molecule: long non-coding RNA, 21055 nt
Filed under: Oryza sativa (Asian cultivated rice)
Lineage: Eukaryota; Viridiplantae; Streptophyta; Magnoliopsida; Poales; Poaceae
Description: long non-coding RNA (OSAT_LNC001986)
Source: RNAcentral
GGCGGCGUGGAAGGAAGGCCAGCAAGAUUAAAAUAAGAUUAAGUCACUAGAAAAUCCUUUGAGAUGUACUACUACUGCGAAACCAAAAAUCGGAGCUGAAAAUUAAGAUCAAACCAAUAAGCACUCUCCCAUGUCAGUCAUAAGGCUUCACAAGUGAAAUAUGAGCCUUCAAGCAACUGCCUGCAUGCUUCGUAUCCAAAAUGCAGAAGCAUUUAUCCCCUGUUGCAUAAGUACUCACUUCGUACUUGGAUUAAUCAGUGGCAUAAUCUUGCCCCAAUUGUUUUGCACAUUGAAAUGGUACACGUAGUUGCUCAAUUAGAGGUAAUCCGAGAGGCAAAUGUGGAUUUUACUCAUACACAAACACGCUGAUCGCGCAGCGAACCACCAAAUUCCCCAGCGGGCGGAACCUGAAGCAACACCACCACCGCAAAAUCAACCACUACCCGUACCGGCAACACCUUGGAAGCCAUGAACCUAGGGUUUGGAGUUGGGGAUUUACCUCAUAGAGGCUCUUGCUCUCUACGGCGGCCGGCGCGGGCUCCUGCUCCUCCUCACCACUGCCGUCGCCGUCGCGGGAAACCCUAGCCUUCCUCUUGCGGCCCAUCUGGUGGAAGCGGUAGUGGAGGCGGCAUGCGGUGGUGGAUUUGGCGGAGAAGUGGCGGCGCACGGUGGUGGAUUUGGCGGAGAAGUGGCGGUGCGCCGCGGCGGAGAAGGAGGAGAAGGAGGCCGCGCGCCGCGGCGAUGGAUUUGGCGGAGAAGUGGCGACGCGCGGUGGAAAGCGGACGAAGUGGCACAGCGCCUAGGGUUUUUUUUUUGCGUGGAUUUUCUUUUCGGCGUGAUAUUUUUUGGCGUGGAUUUCUUUUUUUCAGCCGAGCAAUCACCUCGCUGACUCGCUCUAUCCGAACCGUGGGAUCAAGAUCAGACGGAAGAAACAUUGCUGACAGAUGGAAUAUCGUUAAGUUUUCCUGACAUAUAAUUGGUUUCCACUCUAAAUAUUGCUGACAGUUAUUUUGACCCAAUAAAUAUUUGGAAUUGCUGACAUAUAACAUGUCUUAUUACAUAGUAUUGCCGACAUAUAAUUUGCCAAAAGCCUUUACCAAUAAAUAGUCUAUCAAUAAUUGUUUAUUUUUACCGACAGAUGUCUGUUGGUAAUCUAGUGUCAUGGUGUAGUGAGGUAGCUGCUGGGCGUUCGUGACAGCGGCGACCAUCGAGAGCCUGAACAUGAUCAAGACGAGGAGGCUGGUCUCUCUAUCGGAGCAGCAGCUGGUGGACUGCGACAGCUAUGACGGUGGCUGCAACUUAGGGUCGUACGGGCGGGCGUACAAAUGGGUUGUCGAGAACGGUGGCCUCACCACGGAGGCGGACUACCCGUACACGGCGCGGCGGGGCCCCCGCAACCGCGCCAAGUCCGCGCACCAUGCCGCCAAGAUCACCGGCUUCGGGAAGGUGACGCCGCGGAACGAGGCGGCGUUGCAGGCUGCCGUCGCUCGACAGCCCGUGGCUGUGGCCAUCGAGGUCGGUAGCGGGAUGCAGUUCUACAAGGGUGGCGUUUACACGGGCCCGUGCGGCACGUGCCUGGCGCACGCCGUCACCGUCGUCGGUACGGCACCGACGCGGCUUCCGGUGCCAAGUACUGGACCAUCAUGAACUCAUGGGGCCAGUCAUGGGGCGAGCGCGGCUACAUCCGGAUUCUCCGCGACGUCGGUGGCCCCGGCCUGUGUGGCGUCACACUCGAUGUCGCCUACCCGACCCUGACCUGUGAACGAACGGCAUGAAAAGACGCACAGAUAUGACUAUAUCACUGUACACACAACUACCCUACUAUACAGUGAGUGUCUGCCGAGGAGACGUAUCCACUAUACAUGUAUGAAUUGUGGACAGUAAUUAAAAUGCAUGCUGCGCGCGUACAACUAUGUGAAUUGUGCAUAUUCGUUGACUCAAAACUUGGGCGACCUCCCUAAUGGACUUAUUUGGACUUUCAUUGGAUACCAUCCUGGGCUUCUGUCCUAACUAGGCUAGGCAAAACAACAAAAACCAAUUUAUAAUCUCUUGGUUGUUGCACAUCCCAAUUUACUCCUAAGUUGGCAGAUGCUACCGUACGUUUCGUACGUUCUGCUCUUUAGAAGGUUGACUGUUGUAUUAUCACCUUGAAAAUUUCGACUCUAAAAUACAUGGAAAAAAUUAGAAUAAUCCAAAAUAUUUUUCAAAAUUCCCUCAUAUUGUUGUUUGUCGGAUUCUUUUUCAUUUCUUCUUGUGCCUAUGCCAAAAUAAAAAUUUAAUAAGGAAAUUAACCUAUGUUCUGAAUUCAACUAUGAAUUUAGAAUAAUAUUUAUUAAAGAACCAUGUUUAUAAAAUAGUAGCAGUUAAGAAAAUAUUCUGGAAAUCCUUUUUAGGAUUAAUUCCUUAAGUUUUGAUUUUACAAAUAAAAUAAAGUAAAAUUUCACAAAACUAUAGGUAUUUUACACAAUUUAUCAUAAAACUACAGAUUUAAAAGCUUGUUUCACAAAACUACAGAUCUAAUAUGUCCGUUUAUCACAAAAUUAUAGGUACUUUAUACAAUCUAUUACAAAACUACAGGUUUUAACAAUGCUAAAACCUAUAGUUUUGUGAUAAUGAAGACACUAAACCUGUAGUUUUGUGAUAAUGAAGAUAUUAAAUCUGUAGUUUUGUGAAACAAGUUCUUAAAUUUAUAGUUUUGUGAUAUAUUAUACAAAAUACCUGUAGUUUUGUGAUAAACGAUUAUAUUGAAUCUGUAGUUUUGUGAAAUAAGUUCUUAAAUAUGUAGUUUUGUGAUAGAUCGUGCAAAGUACAUGUAGUUUUAUGAAAUUUACUCAAUAAAAUAAGCUAAUAAAUAUUUUCUAUUGACCUCUUCUAUUUUAGGGCUUAAUUUGCCAAUUUAAAUCAAACUCUGAUUUGUGCCAUGAAUGGUCUAGCCCAGCCAGCCUAAUAAACCAUUUUGUUAGAGCAGUAUAGCCUACUACUAGCUUCAAUUUAUCUAUAGCCAAUCCAAUAGUCAAUUCAUACAAUAGUUGCUUACUAUACUAUUAAUAUAUGGUCCCACAUGUCAUACACACACUCGCUGCUCUUCUCUCUCAUUUUUUAUCUCAUUAAAAUAUCUUUGUAGCUGGCUAAUAGCUAGUCUGUUAUUGUACCUACUCUUAGUUGAGUGUUUGGGUUUUCGUGCCACAGAUCUCGAUUAAAUCAAAUCUUGUGAACUCAAAAUCCUACCCUAACACUCUUCUCCGAAAUUAAGGCUAAUAAAUUUUGCAGUUCAGUCCUCCGCGUAAGCUAAACCUUUCCCGAAACCAAACUUACACAUUUCUUUACCCUCUCCAUUCCCCAUCUAUUCCAUUAAUCGCAAUUUUGUUUAAGUUAAACAAAGUCCCAAAACUCACCCUAAUUGGUACAAUAUUAUGUUCUACACAUGAAUCUUUUGAAUGCCAAAGUUGAAUCUAGAAUCCAAUUUCGCUUAUUCGAAUUCAUUCCCUCGGAUCCAUUUUCUCCUGUACCAACUUUAUUCGAAAUUCCCUAAACUAGGUCAUUUCCGCAAAGUCCUAAUAAUUCCGAUGGAUUCAUAUAUCAGAUGCCAAUCCUAAAUCUCCGUUCAAAUAUAGUAUAUCAAUGCAACCAAUAUCUGGGAACUCUAAAAUUAAUCACGAGUACACAUCCUUCUAUCUGUGACGGCCUUUAGCAUGCCUAGAAAUAAUGGGCAGUAACAAGGAAGUCAUCUCAAUCGGGCCUGAUUGAGAUAUGGUCGCACAGACAUAUUAGAUGGGCGUAAAACUUAAGCCCGUCACGGAUGACACCUAUCAGUGACGGGCUGUAGUUUAGGCCUGAUUGAGAUAACAUUCCAUAUCUCAAACGGGCCUGAAGUUGCGGCCCGUCACAGAUGACCAUCAGCUGUGACGGGCAACAACUUUAGGCCUGAUUAAGAUAACAUUCCAUAUCUCAAACGGGCCUCAAGUUGGGACCCGUCACGAUGACCAUCAUCCGUGACGUGCACCAACUUGAGGCCCGUUUGAGAUAACAGCUAGGCCCAUCACAGAUGACUCAUCAGUGACGGGCUAUAUACUAAUGCCCGAUCGAGAUGACUCAAUCUCUAUCGGGCAUUAACUAAAGCCGUCACUAAUGAGUAUUUUUCCAUUUUUCAUAUGAAAUGUUUAUAUUUGUAAGUUGAACUAUAGCAAAAUAAUUAACUGCAGUAUAAUAAUUCAUUUUAUGAGUCAAAAUAAUUUUACGGGUAGUAAAUGAUUUCAAAUGGAAAAAUUGUCACCAACAAAGUUGUAUAACUUAUCAAGAUUUACAACUUUUAGUUUGGUCAUUUUUUCUGUAUAAUAUUUUUUGAACAAUUUGAAUUUGAAUUUGAAAAUAUAACAACUUCAAACAACAUUUUCAAAUACUAAAUGAUUUCAAUUGAAAAGGCCAUCAACAACAAAAUUAUAUAACUCGUCAAGAUCUAAAACUUUUAUUUUUGUUAUUUCUUCAUCCGACAAAAUGUUAGUAACGUUGUUCACAAAUUUUACAUAUAUGUGUUAUAGUUUAUAAAACCAGAUAAGAUAUGUCAAUUUUGUAAACAAUGUUACUAUCACUUUGUCGGAUGAAGAAAUGACCAAUGAGUUAUUCAACUUUGUUGUUGAUAACUUUUUUAGUUGAAAUCAUUUAGUAUUUGAAAAUGUUGUUUGAAGUUAUUAUAUUUUCAAAUUCAAAUUCAAACGAUUCAAAAAAUGUUAUAUAGAAAAAUGGUCAAACUAAAAGUUGUAGAUCUUGAUGAGUUAUACAACUUUGUUGUUGAUGACUUUUUCAGUUGAAGUCAUUCACUAAUCUAAAAUUCUAUUUGAAUUUCUCAAACUUUGAAUUUCAAAUUUCAAAUUGUUUAAAUAGAGUCAAAUGGAGAAAUGACCAAAAUAAAAAUUUUGCACCUCGAUGAGUUCUACAUCCUUGGUUUUGGUGACUUUUCCAUUUGAAAUCAUUUAUUAAUCCCAAUUUUUGUUCGAAGUUGUCAAAUUUUGAAAAUUCAAAAUUUGAAUUGUUCAAAUGAACUUAAUUGUACAAAGGACCGAUACAAUAGUUGUAGAUCUCAAUGAGUUAUACAAUUUUGUUGUUUAUGAUUUUUGCAUUUGACACACAAAAGUCAGCCUAAAAUUAAAUUUAAAGUUCUCAUAUAUGACGGGCUUUAUUUUUGACAGAUCUCAAUGAGUUCUACAACUUUAUUUUUGACAGCUUUUUCAUAUGAGUUUAUUUAGUAUUAUAAAAUUCAAUUCGAAAUUCUUUUUUCCUAGAAGUCUGAUUGCCUCCUCAUCAUGAUCCAAUUAACUCGGUUUUGCUAGAGAAAUAUGAGAAAUAUGUGAAUGGAUAUGAAAUAUGUGAUCAAAAUGGAUAUGUGAAUGUGGUUGUGUUAAAUAUAUUGAUGGUUGUGUAUGUGAAUGAAUGCAUAUGAAUGGGAAAUGUUAGGGUGUGACAUCUUGGCCUAGGGCUUAAAAGGAUUAAUAGAAUACUCAUACCAAACUUUGAUGUUAAGCGUGCUUGGCCUAGAGCAAUUUCGGGAUGGGUGACCGACCGAGAAGUUCUUCCCUGGUGCACACGAGUGAGGACAAAAAAGACCCGCCUGGGAUGGCAUGGCAUGGCUAGCAAAGGCCGAUAAGGGUCAUCUGUGACGGGCGCUGGUUGUGGCUCGAUUGAGAUAGGUCAUCCGUGACAGGCUAUAGUUUGACUGGUCGUCUGAGUCAAAGCUAUCGGUGACGGACUUUAAUUAAGGCCCGAUUGAGAUAGCUUUAUCCGUGACGGCCGUUUGCCCAAUAGAGAUAACUUUUCACAUCCGUGACUUCUAGGCUGUGACGGACGCCAUGCUCGAUUGAGAUGAGGGUUGCCGCCCGAUUGAGAUGGUGGUUACCAUUCUAGUGAAUCCUUGAGCAACAGAGUAACCAAAUUGAAAUUGAUUGUCCAAUUAAAUAGUGUAGCUACAAUUCCCCAUAAAUCUAAUGAAAUACACAAAAGUUACUAUUACAAUCGGGCCAUUUCUCUCUCCAAGCCCAACAUUCCCACUAGGCUGGCCGGAUCCCUUUCUCCAUUAAUGGGCCUGCCCCGCCCGUUCCUUAGCUUCCACAGCCGGCCCAGCCCUCUCCAGUUCCAAGGCCGAAGAUGUAGCGCCGGCCCAGCCGCGCCACAUGUGGGCCCACAGCCUGCCAAACCUUCCCCUUGUUGGCGCGCUUGCCCGCCACCUGCUCGACGAAAUGCCGAGCCGAGCAAGUGUACUGAGCCGCCUCGCCACCGUGCAAUGGCAUCAGCGCAUGUGCCGCAUCUUCCUCCGCACAGCUCUGCGCCGGUAGCUUGUGUCACCACCCACGUGAGUACCACCGGUUCCGCUUUCCCUCUCUAGACUCGUGUCAGCCAAUGAUGCCGACCUGGCCUCCUCCAUGUGCCACCUUACACGGCCCCACGCUAACGCUGUCCAGGCUGCAGGCGCAUGACACCUCGCCUCGCCUGCCUUUUUCCCCAACAUCUGUGCCGCGCUUGCGCCGCUGAACCCAAUCAACCACCUCACCUCCUCGAGCGUCCACGCCGAAAGUGUGAGCCGAGCUCAUGCCGAAUGCAUCGCCAUUGUCCUGGGCUCUAUGACACCCCGUCUCCUUUCUUCUCUUCGAAGCUGCUCCGGUUUCAUCGUCAUCCGCUGGCAGCAGCUAUGAAAGCCGCCAUGCCCCGUCGUCCUCCACCUUUGACCCUUCCAAUAGCAGCCGCCACCUUCACCCUCCACACGAUCCCACAACAUCAUUAGGUUGGCAAACUCCUCGGCUUCGACUUCUCGGUGGAGUACAAGGCCGGCGCGAAAAACACUGUUGCCGAUCUCUUAUCUCAGCGCAACACCGACGAGGUCACACUCCUCACCAUCUCAGGGCCUCUGCCAAGCAUACGACACAGACUCGGCACUGAUGGUGCUCAGGGACGACCUCAUGGCCUGGUGACGCUCGACGGCCAUCUCUACAUCCCGCCCACCUCACCACUUCUCCAAGAACUGCUCACCGCCAUGCACGACGACGGCCACGAGGGCAUACAACGGACUCUACACCGACUCCGACGUGAUUUCCACUUGCCGAACCUUCGCAAGGAUGGACCACAUCCGUGCGUGCACCACCUAUCAGCGCUACAAGUCAGAACACCUGCACCCCGCUGGCCUUCUCCUACCGCUCCCUGUAUCGAUGCCUAUAUGGUCUGACAUUGGGCUUGACUUAGUCGAGGCGCUACCCCGAGUUGGCGGCAAGUCAGUCAUCCUCACGGUGGUGGAUCGUUUCCGCAAGUAGUGCCACUUUAUACUGUUGGCCCACCCGUAGUCGGCGGAGUCCAUGGCCCAAGCAUUCUCUGCCAAGAUCGUUCGACUCCACAGCGUGCCGCAGUCCAUGGUAUCGGAAAGGGACCCGGUGUUCACGUCUCUGUUCUGGAGGGAGCUCAUGUGCCUCACCAGCGCCAAGUUGCACAUGACGUCCGCCUUCCAUCUUCAGUCUAAUGGGCAGCCAACAAGAUCAUCAUUCCAACAAGAUCAUCAUGUACCUCCGAUGCCUCACCGGUGAUCAUCCCCGCCAGUGGCUGCGAUGGCUUUCGUGGGCUGAGUACAUCUACAACAUGGCCUUCCAGUCCGCCCUCAAGGAUACACCGUUUUGGCCACGACCCCCCUUCCAUCAGCUCAUACAAGCCGAGUGAGACACAGGUGGCAGCCAUCGCCAAGAGCAUCGCGGACAGGGACGAGUUCCUCGCCGACAUUCGCUACCGUCUCGAGCAAGCCCAAGCCGUCUACAAGCACCACUAUGACAAGGACCACCGCGACGUCCGCCACGUUGUGGGCAAUUGGAUGUGGCUCCGUCUUUGACAUCGCGCCCCUGCCUCACUCAACGUUCCAGCUAAAGGGAAUUUCAAGCCUCGUUUCUACGACCCGUACUGCAUCACCGAGGUCAUCAACGAUGUCACCUACCGCCUCGACCUACCACUAUUUGCUCGCCUACACGACGUCUUUCAUGUGGGACUCCUCAAGAAGUUUGUCAGCACACCACCAGCUACUCCUCUGGCAUUGCCACAAACGCAUCAUGGGGCUGUGGUACCCGAAUUAGACCGCGACGUCCGCUCUCGCCUCGCCCGGGGAGUUCGUCAAAUCCUCAUCCACUGGAAGGGUGUACCGGCUACAUCCGCUACUUGGGAAGACAUAGAAGGUUUCCUUGACCGAUAUCCGUCUUUUCAGCUCGAGGACGAGCUGCUGGUCGAGGGGGCAGAUGUCAUGUGGGGACGCCACUACCAGCACAGGAGCAAGCCGGACAUGGUGCAGCCACAUGCACAGGCGCAUGCACAUCAAGCAACACGAAUCAAGGGGUGGAAAAUUGGAAAGAAUUUAGCAAGGAAAAUAUUAAUUAGGAGAGAAUAAAGACCAUUUCUUUGUAUUAGAGGCUAAGUGCCAAUAUAAAUCAUGUAAUCAGCCAUCUUUUGACAACAAGAAAUAUGAACCUAAUUUCCUUAUCUCCCUCCUCCUCUAAUCUCCCUCCUUCACCAUUAGGCGCGCAGGGAAGAGCCCUGACGCCAUUACCGAGCCGAGCUACGAACUCCGUAGCCGCGGUCCUGCUACCAUUGGCGCCAACGCGCUUGACAAGUGCAUUAACCACAAACUGAGGAUUAGACUGGAUUUCCAGCUUAUAUCACUCCCAUAAGACAUACACUCCCAAAAGAAGGGGAAAUGUAACACCACAUAUAUCUGCAUACCUAUAGAGUUCUACACAUAAUACACAAAAAAUUGGUAGUCUCCCUAUAUAUAUGGACAUCCAAAACAGACAACUUAGAAACUAAUAGCAUACUUUCUGUUAGUGAUAUGCCCUAGAGGCAAUCAUAGAGAUGAUUGUAUCACAUACUAUGCUUACAUAUUAAUCCGACAUUGUUCCUCUAAAUAGAUAACUCAUUAUUGGUUAAUGAAUAUGUGAUUCUUUCUUGAGACUCUUUAUGUUGUUUGUUACUAUUUCUAAAGGAUUCCUGAUCAAAUAUCAUAUGUGGAACAAAUAUGAUUAGAUGAUCAACAUAUAUAUUAAUUAAUGAUCAUGUCUCAUGGAUCAUGGUAUAGAGAUACCAAAUUAAUAAUGUGAACACAUGUUAGUGAACAUGUUGUUGGAUAGACCCAACAUGAGACACUGCAAGAGCCAUAUGUGUUGUGUCAUCAGUGAUCUCAUUUAGUGUUGGUAUUGAAUCCUUAGACCUGAGAUUAUCAUGGUUCCCAACAUGUGUAGUAGCUUACUUAGGGACUGCUAAACGCUACUCCGUAAUUGGGUAGUUAUAGAAGUAGUUUUCGGGUAUGCUAUGAAACAUGUAGUGAGAUAUGAAUAAUCAAGAUGGGAUUUGCCCCUCCUAUGGAGAGAUAUCUUUGGGCCCCUCGAUGUUGUAGAUUAUGAAAGUGCAUGGCCAUGCCAAAGGUGAUUGAGGAGUCAAUCACAAGCUAUAUAAUCUAUCAACAGGUUCGAGUGAAUGAUUGAGCUAUUAGAGGAUGGCACAUAUCUAGCCUUAAGCUUAAUCGAUAUCGUGAGGCAAAGGGGUUCAUACAAGUAUACACUAGAGGUUCAGCCGAUAUGAUCUUUAUGUAUGCCCGGUGGAUCAAUACGUUCUGCUAGGGGCCACUGUUGACGCGUGGACCGAAAAGGAGUUUUCGGGUUAUAACCGAGUGUACAUGAACCUACAGGGUCGCAUGCUUAAUGGGCCGGAAUAAGGGGUUUGGAUGGAGAUCCAAUAUGAGCUUAAUUCGGAUAGGGAUCCGAAUAGGAGUCCUACAGGCCUUGGAAGCCCGAGUGAUGGAUCCUAUAUAUGCGUGAGGGGUGUGACUGGCGGAGGCAUUGCAUCACGUGAAAAACCCUAGCCGUCACUUCCCUCCCCGAGCAAAACCCUAGCCGCGCGCGGGUGCUAGCACAUCUGCGCGUGGCGUUCCAUCCCUGUACGUGUGGAUAUUGGUAGAGGCGCCGCUGGUUUGCGGUGCUGAUUGGCGUGGGAGUACGGCGAGAAGAAAGCACGAGGAGGAGAAGGUCGAGCCGGUGCGAUCGACUACUUUCUCUACAUCGACGCGUGCUACUUCGCGAGAAUCCCUUCGACUUCUUAGCGCCUUCUUCCGCUGCGCAGCGCGUCGAGUGGUAACGAUCUAUGAUCUAAUACUUGCAUGGUUUAUGGUUUACGCGAUAGAAAAUUUUGAUUUAUGCUAUCGUAGCCUACGCGUAUCCCAACACUUUCAUACACUUUAGAACCAGCUAGCUCUACAGAAAUCACACAGAUGACCACAAUUGGUUUAAAAGGCACAAUAAGUCCAAAUUACGACUUAAACUAACGAUAUUAUAAACCUAGAAUAAAGCGUAUAGAUGUGAGUGUUACUUCCACAUAGCUACAACUAGCAAACAUAGAACUUCGGACAGCUACAGAAAUGUACAACUUUUAAGUUAUGUGAAAAAUCAGAUUAUACUCAUGCCCAGAUUAACGAAAACAAAAUUUUGUACCAGUUUCAGACCCGGUCAGCAGUACUGUUCUUGGCAUUUCUCCUAAAACCGCUUAUCAGAAUCAAAUGAAACCAGUACAGUUAGAAAGAUAAUGGCAAGGCCAGCAUCUUUUAUUUAGACCACCUAACCAGAGUCCGGACAAAUGAAUACCAGAUUUAAGAGUACAGUUUCAGCCUAUGUUUAAGAAUUUAAAAUUUGAGCACUCGGGAAUUGAAUCAGUUUCUAUACAAAAACUAUACUUGUAGGGACUAGAACGGAUUUCAAAUCUAUACACUUAUUGCACAACAUUAAAGUUAUACGUCUAAGGUUUAUAAUAUCAUUUGGUUUAGGUAGUGGUUCGAACUUGAUGUGCCGUUUAAAAAAGUUAUGGUUAUUUGUGGUUUCAGUGGGGAACAAAUUCAAAAUAUAUAUUAUUUUUUAUGUUUUUGAAGUUAUAUACAUGUUUGUAAAAGAUUGUGGAAAUAUACACAUACCGCGGGGUGAAAAUACGGGACCGGUUGUUUGGCGUAGCAUGAAAGGAUGGGAGCGCGGUACCAGGUCAAUCCCACGGCUCAGGCACGCGUGACCGUCCAUCACGCAGGAUUGUCCUGGCCAUCGGUCCAUCACCUCCGCACCGCGGUACGAGUAUAUUCCUGCAAUUCUUUCAAAAACACGUAUAUAACUAGAAAAACACAAAACAUAAUGUAUAUUUUUCAAAAAAAAUAAAAAACUGGUUUGAAGUAUAUGGGUGUUAAUGUUAUUAGUUUCUACAAUACACAGGGGAGAGUUCCAAAUUUUAUAAUAAACUAGAAAAGAUGCCUGUGCGUUGCAACAGGUAAAGACUUUUUUCAGUGAUAUAUUAAGAGCUAAGUAAUAAAUUGAAAUAUUGGGAUCACUAUACACUGUAAUUGAAAAAGUUAAUAAAAAUCUUAACAUUGGGAUCGCUAUAGAUAAUAAUUAAAAAAAAGUUAAUGAAAAUAUUUCCUGGGUUUUUGGCUGAAAGCCUUCCUUCCUUUUCAGCUCUAGGCUAGUCCGCUACCUCCCUCCAUUUGGUCUACUUCUCUUCGACCCUACCAUCUUCAACUUCCCGAAUAUAACUACCAUCUUCAACCUCCCGAAGAUAAUCCCGUGCCCGUACGUUUGCCAAAGCAAAUCUCCCCAUCAAAUCCGCCCGAAUCUUUCUUGGGUAACCAAAAUUGUUCGAGGGUUUUUGAUCCACUCGAUCUACUCUUUCCAUUUUCCCCAAAAUCAGAGCGUAAAACUCGGGAUAAAAAUGACCGGGGAAGAUCACCGUCAUUAUCGGCAACUGUAGAACAGAGAUUAAAUCCAGGAAUUAAAACUGAAUCGAAGGGUAAAUCAUUGAGAAAAUGAUGAGAGAGGAGUGGGAAAUCGAUUUUUGCAAUCAAAUUAGAGGAGAAAACACACGAUCGAUAUGGCGGCGGCACGGCGCUAGGAUUCACCUCGGGAGGCAUGCGGCGAAUAGAUGGGAUUAUAAAACCGGAUGAGAUAAACAAAAAGCGCAAGGGAGAAAAAACCGGCUAUAAAAAAGAUUGACGAGAAAAACUAAAAGCACUCGAGAGAUGCGCGGUGAAUAGAUCGGAUUAAAAAAAGGAUAAAAAAAACUAAAAACCUUGGCUUGUGCGCAUGAAAAACUCUUCUGCGUGCAAAAAAAAAAAAAGAAAAAAAUACCGGUGCAAAAAAACCAAACGGAUUUUUUGUUUUUUACUGGGAGAUUUUCUUUUCUUUUUCUAUAGAAGUCGGAUGAGAGAUGUUUUUUUCUUUUUUUUUACUGACGACGACGGAAGUUUUUUUUUUUUUAAUAGCUCGUUAACUGAUGUUUGAAACACAUGCGUCCAAAUGCCGAACGGAAAGGGACGACGUACUAAAAUCCCAUGACAAAAACAAGUUAAACUUUUAUAAUAGUAGAAGAUUUAAGAGUUCGUGUUGUUUGGGGUGUUGUGCGUAGCACUACAAGUAUGUGGAUACCUAGGCCAUUACAUAUAAAUAGUUUUGCAAUAGUUUUAUCAAGGUAUCAAUAGUUUUACCAAAUCUAUCUAUCUAUCUAUUAUAUACUAAAAAUCCAUUAAACUUUCUAUAAACGCUCUCGAGAAAUCCAUUAAACUUUCUAUAAACGCUCUCGAGUCACCAAGUGGUAUCUUAUAAACGCUCUCGAGUCGCCAAGUGGCAUUCUAAUAAAAAAAAUCUGACCAUUGAUUUUCAUUUAAAUUGGUGGACCCAUUAUUUUAGAUCAUUAGAUCUAUUUAUUUUGCAGUGAAAAUCAUAUCCGGAAACUCCCCUUUACAAACAAACGUACGUAAUGUGCGAUGUACGUGCGUACUUCCUUCCUGUUACUUCUUUUAUAUGUUUCUUUCUUCGUCUUUAUGAGAAAUUAAUUAGAACCAAAAUUAUUUUCACAGGCAAAAAUGCCUCACCAAUAGACUUUCACCUACUAGGUCUACUAACUCUCCCUCUGUCACUUUAUACAUCCUACAUCAAACACUUUUAAACCACUACUUGAGCUAUUAAAUUAGAGAAAUACUAUAAAAUCUUAAAAAAAAGAAGUAAUUGAUUAUCGAUUUCUACUUAAAUUGACGGAUAUAUUGCUAUGUGGCAUUAUCUAAUCUCAAUGUCGAUUUUACUUAAAUUAGUGGACACAUUAUUUUACACCAUUGGAUUAGAUAAAGCAAAACAUCUAUCCCUCGACUUUCAAUUAAAUCGGUGGUCCAACAUUAUCAACCGUUAGAUUAGAUUGAUUAGGCGCACCUCCAUCGUGAAAAGGGUCGGAAACGGUCGGAAUCGGUAGCAUCUCUUCGGAAACGAUGCUCGAUCGGCCGGUAACUGACCAUAUUUAUCAUUUAAACUACUCAGUGUCGACAUUAAUACGAUACAGAAAUAAAUUAGAAAAAACAAAAUUUAAAAAUAGCCAAAAAGGUAUGAUCGGAAACAGUACCCCUUAUACGGAAACGACGCUCGGUCGAUCAGGAAUUUCUGUUACAGUUUUUACCUCCUCAUGUAAAACCCCACCUCUCGUCCUCCCACGUAUUGGAGUAUGUACGUACUCCAAUACUUUUUAAGUAUUUUAGAUUGUUACUAUUUUUCAAUAGAAAAACCCAAACCUCUCUCCUCUCCCCAACCCUAUGCGACAUUCAAAUCCAUUAAACAUCUUAUAGAUGCUUCUAAACUAUUAUAUGGCAUUCUUAAAGCAAAGAAAAAUCUUUGAAUUUUUGAAAAAAAUAAUCCAACCAUUGGUUUUUAUUUAAAUGUAUGGAAAUAUUAUUUUCAAUCGAUUGACACAUUAUUUUGGGUCAUUAGAUCUUUUUUUAAAAAAAAGAAGCCCAAACCUCCUUGCAUCUCUCUUACUCCGUUGCGGCAUACGGUGUUAAAAGUCCACCUAUAAACACUCUUAAGAUGUUCCGUUGCUCUCAUAGGUCAGAUAAAAUCCUAAAAAUUCUGACAAGAAAACAAAACAUCUGACCAUCGUUUUUGACUUGAACAUCCAAUACAUUAUUUUAGAUGGUUAGAUUGAUCAUUUAGAAAAACAUCCCAAACCUCCCUCUCUCCUUGCCAUUAUUUUCUCUUUGUUUUCUAUCUCCUUAACAAUUAAAAUUAAAAUUAUCUAUAUGGGCAAAAAAAACAAAUGGACCUCCAUCUAUUACUUAUAUCCCGUUAGACAUAUAGUGACUUUCUACCAACUUAAUUAAUUUCUCUUAACAUACAUACGGGGGGCUAUGUACUUAUACAAAUUGACCUUGAUACUUUUAAAAUAAUCUUUUUCGGAGAUAAAGAAAUGUUCUUAAUAAUGAUGUUCAUAGCAUCCAACUUACACAUAUGAUCUAUGAAGUCACUAAUAAAUUAGAGAAAAAGAAUUUUAAGUGACAGAUAUAAUUUUUAAUCAUAAAUGUACUCAUCUAGCAUUAUAGACAACAAGUUGAAAAUAAAGGUGCGGUCGGUUGAAGAUCAUACCAAUAAGCAUGUGGAUUGCACCUAGGAAUCUUAAUAAUGAUACAACCUUGAGGUGGCCUUAGAAAUAUAUCAAGUCAAUUCCAUAUAAGAAUUAAAGACCAUGUCUAUUUUUUUUUAUUUUUCUAGUAAAACAUGCUAACAUUUUAAAUCGUGAGUCCUGGUGUAGAACAAUCUAAAAACAUGUACUCUCUCCGUUUCAAAAUAUAAGGCACAACCACCCUUAACCCAAAUACCAAGAAACUAUUAUUAUCACCUCCUAAUUUGUAUCACCCUAAUAAAUAUAAUGCAUACAUCCAAUAGAUUAGAGAUAUUGAGGGUGGAAGAUUUUAAAAAAUAAUAAUUUAAUGGAUAAGAGGUGCUAAUUAAUUGCAUGCAUGCAUGCACGCCUUAUAUUAAUUAUGGAACAUCUGAAAAAAAUAGUUGUGCCUUAUAUUAUGGAAUGGAGGGAGUAUUAUUUGUUAUAAGACACUUCAGUUUAGUGAUAAUUCAAAAAAAAUACUAUGACCACUACUUCAAUAUUUCAUGAGAUAAAAUUUAUAACAUAUACAUUUACCCCAUGCCAUAAAUGCAUUUAUAUUUUCACCCUAAAUUGCAAAGAUCAAAGCAUUUCAAGGAUGAUUCAUGGAAUGGAACUUUGAAAAAAAUAGGGCAUGAAAUAAAUUGAAAACAAAAAAAAAAUGUCGCUGGAUUUAAAACCCAUUCUAAAUAGAAAAUUUUUUUUUAUGAGGACUGUUAGAUAGAUAGAUAGUGUGUAUAUAUAUAUAUAUAUAUAUAUAUAUAUAUAUAUAUAUAUAUAUAUAUAUAUAUAUAUAUAUAUAUAUAUAACUUAAAAUAAAAUCAAACAAAAAUUGAUAUUAUUGGAUUUCUUUUGGGGUAUCGAGAUAUCCUUCUGGGGAGUCAAAAUACAGUAAAUUUUCUCAUAGGAACCACCUUCAUUGUUUUGACAUAAUGCUUUCUCAUAAUUUCAAAACUGCAUGAUCUCAAGUAAUUUUAUUUUAGAAUUUAUAUGUUGCAAGUGUAAUUGUAAGAAAAUAACUAGCGUUCAAAGCACACUAAAUAAGCUUAAUUUUAGUUUAGAAUAUAGUAAAAAAAUAUUUUAAUAAAAGUCAGCUACACAUAAAUAUUCAUAAUAAAAUUCACACACAUUAUAUAUGGUGCCCGCGCACGGGCACAUGUGCGCGGGCUAUCUUUCUAGUUUUAUAUUAAUAUUAACAUAGUAGGGGGUCUCGCCUAUUGUCUUCCAUUUAAAAUUUUAAUGGUAUAGCCGCAAACUUGGCUUGAAUCACAAGAUAAACUUCCCUAGAAAGCGAAGCAAAACAUAGAAUCGAUUCAUCACAAGAUCAUAUUCUCGUUUGGAAAACCAAAAACAUUUACUGGUAAAAAGUAUCCCUGGCUUCCAGCAAUAUAAAAUUUGAAAAUAUAUUUUGAGACAAAGAAAAUCCUGCAAAAUGGAAAAGGGCGAUACAUAUCAUGUUAGAUCUAAGGCCAUCUUCUAUUUCACUCAAAAGUAAGCUAAACUCUCUUAAUAUCCAUUGUAGGAAGCUAAGCUAAAUAUCACUGUGUCCAUUUGACUAUUUGCUUUUCGAAGCUCUUACUUUACUUCUGCACUAAAUGUGGUAUAAAUAUUACAUUCCACCCAGAGAUCACCAUUGGCCUUUGCAUGCCCAGACAUCAUUUCUUCUGCUUCUAUUUUUAACUAUAUUAGUAAUGGCCACUCAAGUUCCUCCAAGAUUUGCCAUUCACUGGUAAAAAAAAAUCAAUAAGUUUUUGCAGCAAGACUAAGGUCCAUACCAUGAUCCUUUUGCCCACUAGGCUGUAAUAUCAUAAGCUUAAAAGGGCCAAGAAUCUAGGGAGUUCAUAUACUUGAACAGGGCAGUGAAUGUCGUCCAGAAAACAGCAUUAGAAGGCCAUUUCCUGAAGAAUCUUCAGUGUUGUUUGAUGUACCUACAACGGGAAAAUAAGGCAAUCCGCAUGAUUUUCCCCUUUCCAGACAAGUGGACAUAACCAUUGAAAAGAACGAAGCAGGUAUCUCACCCAUUCUAGAUGUUGUGCUGUAAUGCCAGAUGUGUUGUUUGCAUAUAUACCACCUAGAACCUUACCACCCAUUGAAAAUAAUUAAACCACACACUUCAAAGGAGUAAGCAUGUUCAUUUAAGACAGUGAGUUUUAUCCAUAUUAUCACAAUACCUUAGAAACCGUCUCAAGGAACAUUCCUGGACGGACUGGCCGUGGCUUGAGGCCUGUCACACUUCCCUGUGUCCAUGGAAACAAGUGCAGUCAAACAAUCUAUGUAAUGCAAAAUAUAUUGGUAUCUGAAGAUAACAACAAUCCAUGUUUUGAAUCCAAAGCUUACCCUUCCAGAUAUCCCAGUUAGAUGAUUAAGCUUAGAAUCUGGUCCAGCAUUUGCAUUUUCAAUGUUAUCAGCACCUUCUGCCUUGCCCUGCAUAACAUCCUUGAUCAUCCUCUCCAAUGCUUUCCCAGGUUUGAGAGCAACCAGCUUGCUCAAGAAGUUCACCUGUUCAUUCAGCUCAUGAUAUUGAAAAAAAACUUCGAUUCAAUAACUGUGCAUCACUGAUUUAUAGUUAGUACACAGUUUUAAAUAUUAUGGCUUCACAGAUCACUGAAUGGUGUCAUAGUUACAUGAAUAUGCAAUGAAUAUGAAAAUAUAACAAUGUCCUUUCUUAUGUCAGAUGAUUAAGGCCAAAAGGAACUAACCUUUGGUACUUAUAAAUGUUAGUAAAAAAGAUAUUCUAUGUAUAGAACUAGAUGGGUAGAGAUUCUAAGAAUGUAAUUCCCCGUGUCCCAAGCCCCAACAAGUGCAAAUAAUACCUCUGCCUCAGGAAGCGUUGUGAAACCACGGUCAUUUCUUUCAUCUAACAGGCCACCUCCCAUCAUAUUUCGAGCCUCCUCUCUUACGAUAACUAGUCUAGCGAGAAGUUUUCGAUCAGGAAUUGUGGGCCUUGAUUCCAUUGACUGCAAUAAUUAAUAAAAGGUAAGCCAGAAUAAUCUAGUGACAAUUAAUGUUCCAUGGUCCAGCAGAAUUAUUGGCAACUGUUCAUGACCAUGCCCAUGACUAUGCAGAAAAGGCUAAUGUGCACAUCACGGAAAAAGAUUACAGAAGCUGCAGAGCAACAAUGAGGCAAAUGAUAGGAUGAUAUGUACCUAUGAGUAAUGAAAAGCUUUAGAACAUUAGUUCUCUCUUGAAGGGAAAAAAAACUUUCAUUGCAUUGUACCACUGUUUGAGGUAUCCGAGAUACCAUUGCAUUAAUGGAUUAAUGAUGCAACUAAAUCUGCAACAAUUAUAACAAUGUUCAACAAACCAAAGUCAAGCACAACCAUCCAAAUAAAACGGUGAAAUUCCCAAAUGGAACUGAGGUAGAUCCACGAAAAUUAGCGAAAAAAAUACAUAUAUCCUUGUGGCCAAUAUAUUCAAAUGUUCCCUGUGCUCACAUGGCAUUAUAAAACUGUCCGGUUAUCCAUGUUUGCUUACAGACUUGAUCUAUUUCCACUAACAAAAUUGUGCAAUCUUCAAGAGCAGUGACUAAAAUGCAACCACCACAGACAAGUUUUAGCACCACCAAUGCAAUUUUUGUUACUCUGAAAUGAACAAGUCAUGUAGAAUCCCAGAGCAUCAUGUAAGAUCAUUAGUAUACACAAUUGUACUAAUACCCUUCAUCUUACCUCCAAGAGAUCAUCUGCCUGGUUUGCAAUAUCAUUAAGAUUGGCCCCUGGAAUCUGGCACUUAAGGCCUUUAUCAUUUUUAAACACACCUCCACCAGCAGCUACACGACGCAGUAAUUCAUGUCUGCUAUCCUUCUUUUCAGUCUGGCAAAGAAGUCCAACCACUUGAACCUGGUUUAUACAUCAUAAAAUGGGUAGACCGGUCAAAGAGCAUUUAUGACUAAAGAAGUACAAAUACAGGUUUGACAUUCCCACAAAGGUAAGUUUGCUGCACUAGAAAUAAGACUUACAUGUGGAGGGCAUUUUUUUGUGAGAUGAUCCAGCACUGUCUGCUUGACUACCUCAAGGAGAGAUUUACGCUGCCAGUUAAAAAAACUGAUGUGUAAGGCCAAUAGACAAAGCAUGGAAAACAGGUCAAGACUCAAGAGAUAUGAUAUGAGAAUAAUUAUUAAUUAAUCUGGUCAAAUAAGCAUGCAUCCAUAUAUGGGUUAUUUGAGUCAUUAUCUUGUUGCCAUAAUGCAUAUUUCAAGGAUGUUUACCAGAAUUUAAUGUCUUAAAUAAUGAGCAAUUCAAUCAGCAUAUACAGAUUGUUUAGGGCCCUAAACCCACUUACAACGAGUGGACACAGAUAAGCACUUCACAGUUAUUAUGUUGCUAUAAUGCACUCUCAAGGGAAUAUUCACGAAGAUUUUGCUUACACUUCUACCAACCAAUUUUAACACGAGGAAAUAGAUACCAGUAUGGGCUAGAGCAUUAUGAUCAAAUACCAAUUAUAACUAGACAGACGUCUAGGUAUAUUAGAUUAUAUAAACAUUUAUAUCGCAAUCAACAAAGCUAGGAGAGCAGUUAACAUAUUCAUCCUUUGAAAAUUAUGAAUGAGUUGACAUCAAUUUUGGCAAAAUGUGAAAUUAGUUUUUCCAGUACCUCAUUGUCACUAUCCUUCUCAGCAAGCUGUAUCAUGUAAUCAAGUGCCAUUAGAAAGCCAGAUUCCAUCUCAUCAACUCUUUUCCCAAUGACUCCUUGAGCGAUCAACUCCACAGCCAAUGAUUCAAACGAGCCAUCCAUCUCCAUGUCUUCCAUCUACAGCAUCAUCAGCAUACAUAGUCCCAUAUCAAGAAUAUACAAUACAAUGUUUACAACUUUAAGACCCUCAAAGGUAGCAAUCCUUAUAAUUCAGCUGCAUCAUGAACCUUGCUAUUCCACAUCGCAUACCGAGGUUCUCUAAUUCAUCAUUGAAGAUUGCUUCAUUCCUGGUUGUUCGAAAAUUUAAUAAAAAUCCAUAAUCUUCUAACCUUGAGAAAGUGUGAAAAGAUGCAGCAAAGGAUGUAUUAUUUUUUUCCAAAUGGCCAAUUAUUUUUUUUCCCGAGGGAACUAUUGGCCAAUUCGUCGUGAAAUGCUCUAAUAUACUACCCACCAGAGGAUAAUAAAACAAUAAAGUAUUUAAUCACCAAAGAACUGAAAAUAAAACACCCAAUCUAUUAACCACCCAGAGCUAAAAUAUCCCAGAAUUUUGUCAACCGAGACAGUUACUACCCACAAUUCAAAUAGUGAGAAAUUGGACAUUCUGCCACUGCUAAAAGAGGAUUUCACUCAAAUGCCACUCUACGGAUUGGAUUCGUUAAAAAGCCACUUCCAACCGAUGCUAAACCGCCACCAGUGUACUUAAGGCGACAAGGUGAGGCAAGGCGACCCACCCCUACUCAAUUGCCUAGGCAACGCCUUAAGAGUUUAAGGCAAGGGUAAGGCGACGCCUUAAACACAAGCACAAGAGGCAUACUAGAGAUAUAUGAGGCAAAAAAGAGAGGAAGAACAUGAAGGGGCGAGGAAGAGCAGGGAGACAGAUCCAUUGGAGAAGAAGGGAGCAGCAAGAGGGAGACAACCAUCUUCUCUUUCCAAUCUCUGCCCACCCUAUUAUCUAUUCGCUUUCCAUCUUUCACCCUUCCCUCUCCCUAAAUUGGCGCACCCCUAUUCUCUAUUCUCUUUCCAUCUUUCACUCUUCCCUCCCUAAAUUGCUGCACACGCGAUUUCCAUCAUAUCUUCACGCGAUUUCCUUCCCAGCAUGUGUAAUUCCCUACAGCGCAUGCGCCCUUGACCCCCACCUUGCCCGUGUCUACCUGAUUUCACGAGAUAUUAGGAUCCAAGACGUGUAGAAGGGUAGGCAGUGGGGACGCUCUGCUCCCUGAUGGCGCUCAGACGCCUAGGCAACGCUUAAGCGACGCUUUUAAAACCAUGACCGCCGCUUUGCCAUAUUCGCCAUUUCAUAGGAUUUCCACCAUUUUCAGCCAUUGGUCUGACCAAAAUACCCCUUCGGUGAUAGGCGCCAGCAAUGGGCAGCGACCACUACCAAACGUUGGGGCUGCGGCGGGACGCCACCACGGCCGAGGUGAAGGCCACCUUCUGCCGCGGUGCACUCCAUGACCAGCCGGACCGCCACGCCCACUCCCCCGACGCAGCCAUGCGCGCCACUUUCGCCUCGCCUCCGACGCGUACAGGCCUACAGGGUCCACUCCGACGACCACCUCCACGCUGAUUAUGACCUCCGCCUUCGCUCGUCCUCCUCUUCCUCCUACAGCCAUGCCACCACCUCCUCCUCCUCCUCCUCCUCAUCGGCCUCAUAUGGGUAUGGCUACGGCCACAGACGUGGCGGUGGUUCCUAGCGUCGAUCACCUCUGGGUGGAGAGGAUGUUGCCUCGGCCUGAUUCUAUUAGGACUUGUUGCUGAAGUCGGUCACGCGGUGCGGGUUCCUCAUCAAUCUGGGUUUCACCAGGUAAAGCUGCCCAAAUGCGUUGAUGCUUUUCUUGCUUGCUUUGGUUGAUUUGAUAUGCUGCAUAUGAUUGUCCUGCUGAUCCGUCAUAUUGCUAGCUUUUCUUGAGGGAAUCAUUGUGGAAAAAAGAAUUGCAAAGUUCAUGAAUAAUACUCCCUCCGUUUCAGGUUAU